Molecule: ribosomal RNA, 497 nt
Filed under: uncultured bacterium
Lineage: Bacteria
Description: partial 16S ribosomal RNA
Rfam family: Bacterial small subunit ribosomal RNA
Source: RNAcentral
GAUGAACGCUGGCGGCGUGCCUAAUACAUGCAAGUCGAGCGAACGGACGAGAAGCUUGCUUCUCUGAUGUUAGCGGCGGACGGGUGAGUAACACGUGGAUAACCUACCUAUAAGACUGGGAUAACUUCGGGAAACCGUAGCUAAUACCGGAUAAUAUUUUGAACCGCAUGGUUCAAAAGUGGAAGACGGUCUUGCUGUCACUUAUAGAUGGAUCCGCGCUGCAUUAGCUAGUUGGUAAGGUAACGGCUUACCAAGGCAACGAUGCAUAGCCGACCUGAGAGGGUGAUCGGCCACACUGGAACUGAGACACGGUCCAGACUCCUACGGGAGGCAGCAGUAGGGAAUCUUCCGCAAUGGGCGAAAGCCUGACGGAGCAACGCCGCGUGAGUGAUGAAGGUCCUCGGAUCGUAAAACUCUGUUAUUAGGGAAGAACAUAUGUGUAAGUAACUGUGCACAUCUUGACGGUACCUAAUCAGAAAGCCACGGCUAACUACGUG